GAUGAAGAACGCAGCGAAAUGCGAUAAGUAAUGUGAAUUGCAGAAUUCAGUGAAUCAUCGAAUCUUUGAACGCACAUUGCGCCCGCCAGUAUUCUGGCGGGCAUGCCUGUUCGAGCGUCAUUUCAACCAUCAAGCCCUGCUUGCGUUGGGGUCCUGCGGCUGCCCGCAGGCCCUGAAAACCAGUGGCGGGCUCGCUAGUCACACCGAGCGCAGUAAUACAACUCGCUUUGGGCGUGCGGCGGGUUCUUGCCGUUAAACACCCCCUUUUUACCAAGGUUGACCUCGGAUCAGGUAGGAAUACCCGCUGAACUUAAGCAUAUCAAUAAGCGGAGGA
RNAcentral lists this unclassified non-coding RNA (334 nucleotides) under soil metagenome. RNAcentral's name for it is "partial contains 5.8S ribosomal RNA, internal transcribed spacer 2, and large subunit ribosomal RNA". The stretch from base 1 to 120 matches the Rfam family "5.8S ribosomal RNA", at positions 35 to 154 of the family's 154-position model. The record is from RNAcentral.